UAAAGAUCAUCUAGGUCCAGCCCCCUCACCAUGGGCAGGAACGCCUUUCACUAGACCAGUUUACUCAAUUUUCCCUCCAGCCUAGCCUUAAAAACUUGCAGGGAUGAGGCAUCCACAACUUCUCAGGACAACCUGUUCCAGUGCCUUUACCUUAUGGAGAGCUACUCCAGCCCUCUGAUCAUUUUCAUGGUCCUCCUCCAAACUCGUUCCAACAGGUCAAGGUCUUUCUUGUGUUGGGCACAUCAGAGCUGGAUGCAGCACUCAGGCAAAGACAACAAAGCCACACAUCCAAGGUUACAAGAGAUCUUAACCUGAAAGGCUACAGAUGUUUCAUAGAAGGGACAAAUCAAAGAGAG
This is a long non-coding RNA of Passer domesticus (house sparrow), 356 nucleotides long. RefSeq lists it as uncharacterized. The record is from RefSeq and is a predicted model, not a curated record. The transcript has 3 exons. Lineage: Eukaryota; Metazoa; Chordata; Aves; Passeriformes; Passeridae.